GCUAAACAGCUAGCUUAACCGCCCAGACAACUAAAACAACAUUAAAAUACUUAACAAGACAACAACACAUAAACUAAAACAUUUUUCCACCUAAGUAUGUGAGACAGAAAAGGCAAUUACUAAGCUAUAAAAACAGUACCGCAAGGGAAUGCUGAAAGAGAAAUGAAACAAAUCAUUAAAGCACAACAAAGCAGAGAUUAUCCCUCGUACCUUUUGCAUCAUGAUUUAGCUAGACCCUUUGAGCAAAGCGCACUUUAGUUCAAAACCCCGAAACCAAGUGAGCUACCCCGAGACAGUCUAUCAAUUAGGACUAACCCGUCUCUGUGGCAAAAGAGUGGGAAGAGCUCCGGGUAGGGGUGACAAACCUACCGAACUUAGUUAUAGCUGGUUGCCUAGGAAAUGGAUAAUAGUUCAGCCUCGCUCUCCUUGCCUCAUAAAUAUUUAAGUCCACACGAGUCAAAGAAACACGCGAGAGUUAGUCAAAGGGGGUACAGCCCCUCUGAAAUAGGAUACAACCUUAUACAGGAGGUUAAAGAUUAUAUUAAACAAGAUAUAUCGCUCUAGUGGGCCUAAAAGCAGCCACCUAAACAGAUAGCGUUAAAGCUCCGGCAAACCAAAAAUCCAUUAUUCAAAUAAUUUAUCUAAGACCCCUAAUUUUACUAGGCUAUUCCAUGCUUACAUGGAAGAAACACUGCUAAAAUGAGUAAUAAGAAGGAACCCCCUUCUCCACAGCCUAAGUGUAUGUUAGAUCGGACUCUCCACUAACAAUUAUCGAACCCAAUUAAAGAGGGUAAUGUGAGCCCAUUAAACAACAAGAAAACACCACACAACUUAGUCGUUACCCCCACACUGGAAGGCAAACAAGGAAAGACUAAAAGAAAAGGAAGGAACUCGGCAAACCCAAGCCUCGCCUGUUUACCAAAAACAUCGCCUCCUGCAAAAAUCAAUGUAUAGGAGGUCCUACCUGCCCAGUGACAAGUUAAACGGCCGCGGUAUUUUGACCGUGCGAAGGUAGCGCAAUCACUUGUCUUUUAAAUGAAGACCUGUAUGAAUGGUAGAACGAGGGCUUAACUGUCUCCCUUUUCCAGUCAAUGAAAUUGAUCUGCCCGUGCAGAAGCGGACAUAAAAAUACAAGACGAGAAGACCCUUUGGAGCUUAAGAUAAAAGACCAACUAUGUCAAGAGCCAAAUAAAAUAGCUUAAACUAAAUAUCACCUGGUUAAUAUCUUCAGUUGGGGCGACUGCGGGAGAAAAUAAAGCUCCCACGAGGAUUGGGGCUAAUAACCUAAAACCAAGAAAGCCACUUCUAAGUCACAGAACAUCUGACCACUUAAGAUCCGGCCCUCAGCCGAUCAACGGACCAAGUUACCCUAGGGAUAACAGCGCAAUCCCCUUUAAGAGUCCAUAUCGACAAGGGGGUUUACGACCUCGAUGUUGGAUCAGGACAUCCUAAUGGUGCAGCCGCUAUUAAGGGUUCGUUUGUUCAACGAUUAAAGUCCUACGUGAUCUGAGUUCAGACCGGAGCAAUCCAGGUCAGUUUCUAUCUGUAAUGCCACUCUUCCCAGUACGAAAGGACCGGAAAAGAGGGGCCCAUGUCACAAACACGCCCCAUCCCUACUUAAUGACAACAACUAAAUUAAAUAAAGGGAAGGCACAACCCCGCAUCUAGACAAGAUU
Molecule: ribosomal RNA, 1676 nt
Filed under: Kryptopterus bicirrhis (glass catfish)
Lineage: Eukaryota; Metazoa; Chordata; Actinopteri; Siluriformes; Siluridae
Also listed under: 1 other name
Description: 16S ribosomal RNA
Rfam family: Bacterial large subunit ribosomal RNA
Source: RNAcentral